CACAGGUACUUGGGUGACUUGUUUCAUCCAGCCAUUCCUAGGUUCCAUCUCCUUUCUAAAUGAUGUGAUGUCAGAGAAGUGCAGCGGGCGGCAUCGGUCACCACAGCACCCUGCUGAAAGAUCUAAAGGGGAGAGGGGCCUAGGUAGAGACAGCAGGAGGCUCUGCCUCACUAAGGAGCACUCGGCAGCGGCCGCCGAGAAGGGGUCUUUGCGCGUCUCGCGGAGCGGCGACCCAUCCUGGCUGCCCAUUUCCGAGGACGACGACGGCAGCCGCUGCAGCCGAGCGGACUUCAGGAAGGAGUCUGGGUCUGCGGGCGGUCGGGUGGUCACUUUGGGCGCCCCCUAUCCGGCGUUGCCAGCCUCCGCACCGGGCUGUGCCGCCGCGCCCCCGCCCUGGGCCCUUCACUCAAGCCCCAUUGGCCAGCAGUGAGCCUCCCCAACGCACCCCGGGGCUACAAAGGGACAGGCACCCAGAGGGUAGCAGCCAAAAGGCAGAGGCCCCCGGGCCAGUUCCCAGAACUUGGGAACUGGGGCCGAGAGCACUUCUGGGAACAAUGGGCUGGAGGGUGGGGCUCAGCCCUCCCUGGAACCUGAUCUUGCUCCAGCUGGUGCCUAGCCUGUGCAAGGAGGCCGGCCACCAAGCAGCCUUGCUCUGGUUAUCCAUUCAUUCACCCAUUGUGAAGCGCCUACUCUAUGUCUGGCCCUAUGCCAGAUGCCGGGGGGGGGGUGGGGGGGGGGGAAGCGGGGGGCGGGGGGUGCAGAUAGUUCCCAAACUCCUUGCAGAAAAAGGCAAUAAACAAGCCAAGGAGUAUAUAAUUAUAAGUAGUGGCCGGUGCUAUGAAGAAGGCAGAAAUGUAGAUAAUAAUGGUAGGGGAGAGGUAAAGGUAAAGGAGGAUUGCUUCCAGGGGAAAAUCAGGGAAAGUUUCUCCCAGGAAGUGACUUUCAAGUUGAGAACUGAAAGGUGAGUUGCCAGUUACAGAUAGAGCAUGGUGUGUGUGUGUGUGUGUGUGUGUGUGUGUGUGUGUGUGUGUGUGUUUCUAGCAAAGGACACAUCAAAAUAUAAAGACCCAAAUGUGGCAACGAACUUGGCACAUUAGAAAGAAAUAAGGCCUGGGUAGCUGUGACAUAGAAGAAAAGGGUAAAGAGUAGUAAGGAUGGAAGUUAGUCCCUAACAUGCUGGGGCUAUUGGGCUUGUGAGAAGCUUGGAUUUUACCUUAAAUUAUGGAUGCCACUGGAGAGUUUUAAGCACCAACACGAAGUCAUCUGUUUUGUGUUUUUAAAAGACCCCUCUGGAGGCUGGGGCUGUAGCUCAGUAGUACAGUGUUUGCUGAGCAUGUGUGAAGCCCUGGUUUUGCUCACCAGCACCAGGAAAAAUAAAUUCUUCUGGCUGCUGUCUGGAGAGCAGAUGAGAGGAUAAUAAGAAUAGAGGUAGAAGAGGAAAAAAAAAAAAAAAAAAAGCCAUUUACUUGCUGGGUGCUUAUGACCUAGUCACUUUAAGUUAUAAGCCUCACCUUCCUAUCAUGUCAGACGGGUACAAGGAUCCCACAAGGUGAUAUACACCCAGUGCUCUAUAGCUGUUCAAAGUUAUUUUAUUCUUUUCCUACCUCCCACAGCUGAGACUCUCUUCUAUUUCAUAGGUCUCUCUGGGUGUAUUAGGCUUGAACUUAGGUCCCUAAAUGGUCAAAAGGCCCUGAAAGUUUGUAAACAAUAAAGAAAUUGGCAAGUAUCUUGAUCUUAACUUUGUCAUACUCACAAAAAUUUUUAGAAGUUUAUUCAUUUAACUAUUUCCUUUUUGACUCUUUCUUUUCUUUUUUUAAACAAAGACUUGCUAUGCUGCUCCUGGCCCUUACAUAGUUGAGACUAUAGGUAUGUACCACUGCAGUCAGUAACUUUUUGAGUACCUGCUGCUGUGUACUGAAUAUAACCUUUUAAAAAGUUGUUCGAUAAAAUUAAAAAUUGGCUAUCUUGCUAUUUCAAGCUAGUAUAAUGGUUCACUGAUGCCAACAUGAUAAAAUCUAAGCUCCUUUUACUUUAUUUUGCAGUAGUG
Molecule: long non-coding RNA, 2047 nt
Organism: Cavia porcellus (domestic guinea pig)
Lineage: Eukaryota; Metazoa; Chordata; Mammalia; Rodentia; Caviidae
Source: Ensembl